CGGGGUGAGUAAUGUCUGGGAAACUGCCUGAUGAGGGGGAGUAACUACUGGAAACGGUAGCUAAUACCGCAUAAUGUCGCAAGACCAAAUGGGGGACCUUCGGGCCUCUUGCCAUCGGAUGUGCCCAGAUGGGAUUAGCUAGUAGGUGGGGUAACGGCUCACCUAGGCGACGAUCCCUAGCUGGUCUGAGAGGAUGACCAGCCACACUGGAACUGAGACACGGUCCAGA
RNAcentral lists this ribosomal RNA (229 nucleotides) under uncultured bacterium. Its description in RNAcentral is "partial 16S ribosomal RNA". It matches the Rfam family "Bacterial small subunit ribosomal RNA", at positions 104 to 335 of the family's 1533-position model. The record is from RNAcentral.